AACUGCCUGGGACUUUUGUCAGGAUUCAUAAUUGAACCUACACUAAUUGAAAGGGAAUCCGAGUUCAAAAAAAUAUGUCAUGCCGUUGCGAGCGGAAGACAGAAAACUUUUGACAGGUAUCCCACCUAUCGAAUGAUAGGGCGUCAAUUAUACCCUGACGGAGCCGCCGGGUAGUUU
This 177-nucleotide non-coding RNA is filed under the name Bacillota bacterium. Its description in RNAcentral is "6S RNA". It matches the Rfam family "6S / SsrS RNA". From Rfam's summary of the family: E. coli 6S RNA was the first non coding RNA to be sequenced, but its function was unknown until recently. It consists of 184 nucleotides that fold into an extended hairpin structure with a large single-stranded internal bulge. The 6S RNA specifically associates with RNA polymerase holoenzyme containing the sigma70 specificity factor. Lineage: Bacteria; Bacillati; Bacillota. The record is from RNAcentral.